UCCCUGGUAGCUCAAAUGGUAAAGAAUCUGCCUGCAAUGCAGGAGACCCAGGUUCCAUCCCUGGGUCGGGAA
Molecule: transfer RNA, 72 nt
Filed under: Bos taurus (domestic cattle)
Lineage: Eukaryota; Metazoa; Chordata; Mammalia; Artiodactyla; Bovidae
Also listed under: 5 other names
Rfam family: tRNA
About the family: Transfer RNA (tRNA) molecules are approximately 80 nucleotides in length. Their secondary structure includes four short double-helical elements and three loops (D, anti-codon, and T loops). Further hydrogen bonds mediate the characteristic L-shaped molecular structure. tRNAs have two regions of fundamental functional importance: the anti-codon, which is responsible for specific mRNA codon recognition, and the 3' end, to which the tRNAs corresponding amino acid is attached (by aminoacyl-tRNA synthetases). tRNAs cope with the degeneracy of the genetic code in two manners: having more than one tRNA (with a specific anti-codon) for a particular amino acid; and 'wobble' base-pairing, i.e. permitting non-standard base-pairing at the 3rd anti-codon position.
Source: Rfam by way of RNAcentral